RNAcentral lists this unclassified non-coding RNA (400 nucleotides) under soil metagenome. RNAcentral describes it as "partial contains 5.8S ribosomal RNA, internal transcribed spacer 2, and large subunit ribosomal RNA". The stretch from base 1 to 122 matches the Rfam family "5.8S ribosomal RNA", at positions 35 to 154 of the family's 154-position model. The record is from RNAcentral.
GAUGAAGAACGCAGCGAAAUGCGAUACUUGGUGUGAAUUGCAGAAUCCCGUGAACCAUCGAGACUUUGAACGCAAGUUGCGCCUCAAGCCAUUAGGUUGAGGGCACGUCUGCCUGGGCGUCACAUAUCGUUGCCUGAUGCCAGUUUCCUCGUGAUGGGUGACUGUGCAGGGCGAAUGAUGGCUUCCCGUGAGCAUUGUUGCCUCAUGGUUGGUUGAAAAUUGAGUCCUUGGUAGGGAGCGCCGUGAUAGAUGGUGGUUGAGUGACGAACGAGACCCAAUCAUGUGAGACCCCUACCGAAUUUGGCCUUCAUGACCCACAUGCGUCUUUGGAACGCUCAUGACGAGACCUCAGGUCAGGCGGGGCUACCCGCUGAGUUUAAGCAUAUCAAUAAGCGGAGGA